Long non-coding RNA from Microplitis mediator, 566 nucleotides. RefSeq lists it as uncharacterized. The transcript is spliced from 3 exons. NCBI's taxonomy places the organism in Eukaryota, Metazoa, Arthropoda, Insecta, Hymenoptera, Braconidae. The record is from RefSeq and is a predicted model, not a curated record.
GAUGAAGAUCCAAUGAUCGGUAAAAUGGGAAUUUUAUCGAUCACUGGAGCUUCACCCAAACUGAAACUGUACUGGCUAGGUUUUCUUUGUGGUUUCCCUACGCCACUACACCUCCAUUGCACAAGGGAGGUUGUAGGGUAUCACCGUAAUGAUGCAGUACAGUAUAAGCACAAGUCGGGCCACAGCCACACAAUGAAGGCAGAAAGAGAAGUAAAGCAGUUGCGAUAUAAAGGCAAAAAGUGUAAAAGGCCGUUACUACGGCUAUAUACUAGAAAACAAUUAAAAAAAAAAUAAUAUUCCUCAGACGUCGUAUAUCAAUUCAAACUAUUCCACACUCUGUUAGUUUUAAAUGUUUUCGACAGUAAAAAAUACGAGACACCGGCUUUGUUAAGAUGCGAGAUCCUGCGUAAAAUAUCAACAUUGAGUGAAGUCUUUCCAGAAAGCAAAUGUCUAUUCUAUAUGAUGUAAUAAAUUAUUUUGGUUUAUAAUUUAUUUGAAUAUUUAUAAAACGAUAAAAAUCAGUCGUAUACCCUUCGUCGUUCCGCACACAAAAAAAGGAAUUCUUG